This 406-nucleotide ribosomal RNA is filed under the name uncultured bacterium. RNAcentral's name for it is "partial 16S ribosomal RNA". It matches the Rfam family "Bacterial small subunit ribosomal RNA", at positions 30 to 526 of the family's 1533-position model. The record is from RNAcentral.
AUUGAACGCUGGCGGCAGGCCUAACACAUGCAAGUCGAACGAGUGGCGGACGGGUGAGUAAUGGCUGGGAAACUGCCCGAUGGAGGGGGAUAACUACUGGAAACGGUAGCUAAUACCGCAUACCAUCGGAUGUGCCCAGGUGGGAUUAGCUAGUAGGUGGGGUAACGGCUCACCUAGGCGACGAUCCCUACCUGGUCUGAGAGGAUGACCAGCCACACUGGAACUGAGACACGGUCCAGACUCCUACGGGAGGCAGCAGUGGGGAAUAUUGCACAAUGGGCGAAAGACUGAUGCAGCAAUGCCGCGUGUAUGAAGAAGGCCUUCGGGUUGUAAAGCACUUUCAGCGAGGAGGCGGUACCCGCAGAAGAAGCACCGGCUAACUCCGUGCCAGCAGCCGCGGUAAUUC